Molecule: ribosomal RNA, 505 nt
Filed under: uncultured bacterium
Lineage: Bacteria
Description: partial 16S ribosomal RNA
Rfam family: Bacterial small subunit ribosomal RNA
Source: RNAcentral
AUUGAAUGCUGGCGGCAUGCUUAACACAUGCAAGUCGAACGGCAUCAACAUUUAGCUUGCUAGAUGGUUGGCGAGUGGCGAACGGGUGAGUAACGCGUAGGAAUAUGCCUUAAAGAGGGGGACAACCUGGGGAAACUCAGGCUAAUACCGCAUACACUCCGAGGAGAGAAGCGGGGGACCGCAAGGCCUGGCGCUUUAAGAAUAGCCUGCGUCCGAUUAGCUGGGUGGUGGGGUAAAGGCCUACCAAGGCGACGAUCGGUAGCUGUCUGAGAGGAUGACCAGCCACACUGGGACUGAGACACGGCCCAGACUCCUACGGGAGGCAGCAGUGGGGAAUAUUGGACAAUGGGGGGAACCCUGAUCCAGCAAUGCCGCGUGUGUGAAGAAGGCCUGCGGGUUGUAAAGCACUUUCAGUGGGGAGGAGGUUUGUUAGGUUAAGAGCUGAACAAAUGGACGUUACCCACAGAAGAAGCACCGGCUAACUCCGUGCCAGCAGCCGCAGUAA